Molecule: ribosomal RNA, 465 nt
Filed under: uncultured bacterium
Lineage: Bacteria
Description: partial 16S ribosomal RNA
Rfam family: Bacterial small subunit ribosomal RNA
Source: RNAcentral
GACGAACGCUGGCGGCGUGCUUAACACAUGCAAGUCGUACGGUAAGGCCCUUUCGGGGGUACACGAGUGGCGAACGGGUGAGUAACACGUGAGUAACCUGCCCACAACUUUGGGAUAACGCUAGGAAACUGGUGCUAAUACUGGAUAUGUGCUCCUGCUGCAUGGUGGGGGUUGGAAAGCUCCGGCGGUUGUGGAUGGACUCGCGGCCUAUCAGCUUGUUGGUGGGGUAGUGGCCUACCAAGGCGGCGACGGGUAGCCGGCCUGAGAGGGUGACCGGCCACAUUGGGACUGAGAUACGGCCCAGACUCCUACGGGAGGCAGCAGUGGGGAAUAUUGCACAAUGGGCGCAAGCCUGAUGCAGCAACGCCGCGUGCGGGAUGACGGCCUUCGGGUUGUAAACCGCUUUCAGCAGGGACGAAGCUUUUUGUGACGGUACCUGCAGAAGAAGCACCGGCUAACUACGUG